This 379-nucleotide ribosomal RNA is filed under the name uncultured bacterium. RNAcentral describes it as "bacterial SSU rRNA". It matches the Rfam family "Bacterial small subunit ribosomal RNA", at positions 29 to 409 of the family's 1533-position model. The record is from RNAcentral.
AUUGAACGCUGGCGGCAUGCUUUACACAUGCAAGUCGAACGGCAGCACGGGCUUCGGCCUGGUGGCGAGUGGCGAACGGGUGAGUAAUGCAUCGGAACGUACCGUGUAAUGGGGGAUAACGUAGCGAAAGUUACGCUAAUACCGCAUACGCCCUGAGGGGGAAAGUGGGGGACCCGCAAGGCCUCACGUUAUACGAGCGGCCGAUGUCGGAUUAGCUAGUUGGUGGGGUAAAGCCUACCAAGGCGACGGAUCCGUAGCGGGUCUGAGAGGAUGAUCCGCCACACUGGGACUGAGACACGGCCCAGACUCCUACGGGAGGCAGCAGUGGGGAAUUUGGACAAUGGGGGCAACCCUGAUCCAGCCAUGCCGCGUGAGUGAA